GACGAACGCUGGCGGCGUGCUUAACACAUGCAAGUCGAACGGUGAAGCGCCUUCCUUUUUGGUGGGUGUGGAUGAGUGGCGAACGGGUGAGUAACACGUGAGUAACCUGCCCCCUUCUUCUGGAUAACCGCAUGAAAGUGUGGCUAAUACGGGAUAUUUUGGGUCUGUCGCAUGAUGGGUCUGGGAAAGAUAUUGUUUCGGUGGGGGAUGGGCUCGCGGCCUAUCAGCUUGUUGGUGGGGUGAUGGCCUACCAAGGCGGUGACGGGUAGCCGGCCUGAGAGGGUGGACGGUCACACUGGGACUGAGACACGGCCCAGACUCCUACGGGAGGCAGCAGUGGGGAAUAUUGCACAAUGGGCGCAAGCCUGAUGCAGCGACGCCGCGUGAGGGAUGGAGGCCUUCGGGUUGUGAACCUCUUUCGCCAGUGAAGCAGGCCUGCCUCGUUUGUGGGUGGGUUGACGGUAGCUGGAGAAGAAGCGCCGGCUAACUACGUG
Molecule: ribosomal RNA, 494 nt
Filed under: uncultured bacterium
Lineage: Bacteria
Description: partial 16S ribosomal RNA
Rfam family: Bacterial small subunit ribosomal RNA
Source: RNAcentral